This 334-nucleotide unclassified non-coding RNA is filed under the name soil metagenome. Its description in RNAcentral is "partial contains 5.8S ribosomal RNA, internal transcribed spacer 2, and large subunit ribosomal RNA". The stretch from base 1 to 120 matches the Rfam family "5.8S ribosomal RNA", at positions 35 to 154 of the family's 154-position model. The record is from RNAcentral.
GAUGAAGAACGUAGCGAAAUGCGAUAAGUAGUGUGAAUUGCAGAAUUCAGUGAAUCAUCGAAUCUUUGAACGCACAUUGCGCCCGCCAGUAUUCUGGCGGGCAUGCCUGUUCGAGCGUCAUUUCAACCAUCAAGCCCCCGGCUUGUGUUGGGGACCUGCGGCUGCCGCAGGCCCUGAAAACCAGUGGCGGGCUCGCUAGUCACUCCGAGCGUAGUAAUACAUCUCGCUCAGGGCGUGCUGCGGGUUCCGGCCGUUAAAAGCCUUAUUUACCCAAGGUUGACCUCGGAUCAGGUAGGAAGACCCGCUGAACUUAAGCAUAUCAAUAAGCGGAGGA